This 525-nucleotide unclassified non-coding RNA is filed under the name Hevea brasiliensis (rubber tree). Lineage: Eukaryota; Viridiplantae; Streptophyta; Magnoliopsida; Malpighiales; Euphorbiaceae. The record is from RNAcentral.
AAAGAAGAAAAAAGAAAGAAAGAAGAAAACAAACAAAGGUUCAUAUUAUAAUCUUUUUAUCUGAUAAUCAAAGAACUUACAAAGUGAUUUAUUGUUAAAGAAUUUAGGCCCUCGACAACAGGAUAUGAAUUUUGCAAAAUAGAUGCAUCUCCAGGUCCCAUAGAUGUCACAAGUUAAGAAUGCAGUUACAAUUCAGAAUGGAAACCAGAUUGCUAAGAGUCAAUAGAAGAAUACCAUAAGUGGAAGAAAGAAACCUGGAUAAAACUGUAUUGGGUAAGUAGGUCAGAUUUCUGUAACAUAUACAAUUGGUAAAGAUCAGGAAUAUCUCCAAAAAGCCUGCUGAUGACCCAGCUUUGUCAGAAUCAGUGGUAUACAGUGGUCUUUUAUAGAAGACCUGUAAAGAAAAGAAUUCGUACAUUGGAACAAGUUAAACCAGGAACUCGAGAGUGGGGAGGAAAUUCAAUUGCGGAGACAGAAAUUGUUCCACGUGGGAUCAUUUUAAAAUAAAAUAAUUUAUAAAUUAAU